This is a long non-coding RNA of Asparagus officinalis (garden asparagus), 1122 nucleotides long. RefSeq lists it as uncharacterized. Lineage: Eukaryota; Viridiplantae; Streptophyta; Magnoliopsida; Asparagales; Asparagaceae. The transcript has 5 exons. The record is from RefSeq and is a predicted model, not a curated record.
UCCUUCCUCAAAAUCCUCCCUCGUGCUUCCCCCUGCCUCUCUCACUUCCUCGUUCUCACUCCAGUCUCUCACCUUCGUUCUCUCUCUCUCCCCCUUCAAAAGAAACCCAAAUCCCCAGCUCUCUCUCCCUUCGCCCGUUUCCCUCACCGUCAGCCCCCAUUCCCGCUCCGACCACCAUCAGUCCGAACCCCAAGUCCCCGCCGUCGCCAGCUCCACCAACUCCACCCCCGCUCGAGCGGCUAAUCCUUUACCAGAUCUCAGGGGCUUAUUGAAGACUUGGAGCUUGAGUUGAGGUUCCCUUUUCAUUUUAUCAUCUAAUUUGAAGUUUUAACCGCCCAUUUAGUGAAGAAGCUCUUGGGGUUGGUGACCCAGUUCCAAAAUGAUAACUUUCUUGAUGGGGCUUCUUGAUUUUUACUUAUUACAGUCGGAAUGGGCAGCAAAAUUUGAUCUUAAUUAAGUUGAAGGAGAUUGUUGGAAUAAUGAUAAGCUCAGUACCUGGGUCCAUUUCAUUUGUUGUUAUUUCAGUGGGGAGUAUAGUUUCAUGUAUUAUGAUUGCAUCUAUGUUUAUUAACUACAAUCCUACUGGUUUUAGUUUCAACUCCAUAGUUUCUGAACAAGGGCAAGCUAUAGUCGAGCCCCUCUCCUACCGAGCUUCCCAGACUCCCAGCUCACUGCCGACCAAGCCCCGCCCUGAGCUCCGCGGCACAUCUUUACCCUUACAUCGCCGGAGAUCCCCAUGGCUGGACAGAAGAUCAAGGUCGGAAUCAUCGGAUUUGGAAGGAUAGGGCGAUUGGUUGCCAGAGUGAUUCUCCAAAGCGAGGAUGUUGAGCUCGUGGCCGUCAACGACCCCUUCAUCGCCACCGAUUACAUGCAGGUGCAGCUGCAGUUUCUGCAAGAGAGGCAGUCACAGAAAACUUGCUAGGGUCCUGCAUUGGACGUACAAUUUUUCAGCAAUCACAUGCAUCAUCUUUGGGAAUCAAAUCUUGUGGGAAAGUGAAUUCAGUGGCAACAGAAACAGCAAUAACGUUCUUGUAGGAAUUAAUGAACAUAUGGGGUGAUGCUGCGAGGGUUGGGUAAGAGAGGCCCAGUGACAGCGAAGCAACCAUAGAAACACCAGCUGCA